RNAcentral lists this ribosomal RNA (301 nucleotides) under uncultured bacterium. RNAcentral describes it as "partial 16S ribosomal RNA". It matches the Rfam family "Bacterial small subunit ribosomal RNA", at positions 509 to 807 of the family's 1533-position model. The record is from RNAcentral.
CAGUAGCCGCGGUAAUACGAGGGGUGCAAGCGUUAUUCGGAUUGAUUGGGUGUAAAGGGUGUGCAGAUGGCUUAUUAAGUCACUUGUUAAAUUCUUCGGCCUAACUGAAGGUCUGCAAGUGAUACUGAUGAGCUAGAGGGUGGAAGAGAGAAGUGGAAUUCUCGGAGUAGCGGUAAAAUGCGUAGAUCUCGAGAGGAACACCAAUGGCGAAGGCAGCUUCUUGGUCCACUCCUGACGUUCAUACACGAAAGCGUGGGGAGCAAACAGGAUUAGAUACCCCCGUAGUCCCUGUCUCUUAUAC